UACGUAGGUGACCAGCGUUGUCCGGAUUUACUGGGCGUAAAGAGCGCGCAGGCGGUCGUUCAAGUCGAGUGUGAAAGCCCCCGGCUCAACUGGGGAGGGUCACUCGAUACUGAUCGACUUGAAGGCAGGAGAGGGAAGCGGAAUUCCCGGUGUAGUGGUGAAAUGCGCAGAUAUCAGGAGGAACACCGGUGGCGAAGGCGGGUCUCUGGGCCGAUACUGACGCUGAGGAGCGAAAGCGUGGGGAGCGAACAGG
This 253-nucleotide ribosomal RNA is filed under the name uncultured bacterium. RNAcentral's name for it is "partial 16S ribosomal RNA". It matches the Rfam family "Bacterial small subunit ribosomal RNA", at positions 524 to 776 of the family's 1533-position model. The record is from RNAcentral.